ACAGUGGUGGUUCAGUGGUAGAAUUCCUGCCUUCUACAUAAGACCUGGGUUCGAUUCCCAGCCAAUGCC
This 69-nucleotide transfer RNA is filed under the name Loxodonta africana (African savanna elephant). It matches the Rfam family "tRNA". Rfam says of the family: Transfer RNA (tRNA) molecules are approximately 80 nucleotides in length. Their secondary structure includes four short double-helical elements and three loops (D, anti-codon, and T loops). Lineage: Eukaryota; Metazoa; Chordata; Mammalia; Proboscidea; Elephantidae. The record is from Rfam by way of RNAcentral.